This is an RNA transcript of Gadus macrocephalus (Pacific cod), 1286 nucleotides long. RefSeq lists it as uncharacterized. The record is from RefSeq and is a predicted model, not a curated record. Lineage: Eukaryota; Metazoa; Chordata; Actinopteri; Gadiformes; Gadidae. The transcript has 7 exons.
GUCCCCCUAUAUAUAGCCCCUCGGGCCCUGGCAUCAGAUGCUGCGCCACGCUGGUGGUGGUGGUCAAUACAAGAAGACCGUAGAAAAGAUAACGCUUAAAGACCAGAGGAUUCCUCAGCACACAGAAGAGCAUUCCAACACCUCAGCGGCGUUGACCAGCGGACCAGCUGACGAGCUCAAGAACAGCAACAUGACUCACGUCCGGAGAUUCCAGGGGAUUCCGAUGUCCACGGUACAUUAGGGGAAGAAAAACACCAACCUUCGUACUAUACUAACUCAUCUUCUCAAAGAUGCUAUGGAUGUCGAGUCUGGCUUUGAAUCCGUUCAACGAUUCAAGUGUUUAGCCGAGGAACGAGACAGGAGAACGGAGAGGUUGGGAGCACCACUCUUCAACCAGAUAUGAGCUCGUCCACCGUCAGACUUUACAUGUAUCAUCCAAAGCCUGAUUUGUGUGACACCACAGUGAGAGUCUCUGUCCAUUCCCAGACAAUGUCCAAGAUCCCAGCUGCACUCAUAAUUCUGCGUUUGUUAUUGACUUAUGAGUUGAACUUCAGAGAAACGCUCGAAAAACCAAGAGGCUUUACUCCACUAGCAGUUACAUCAAUGAGGGGAAUCUGUAAGGAGGAAGACUAUGCCUUCCUUGGUGGGGUGAAAAUGCCAGAUGAAGAUGAGGACUAUGAGUAUCCAAGCGGUUCAAAGACUCCUGUGUGUGACUCUGAAAGCUGGAGGAGCAGAAGGGAAGAGAGGGUUCAGCGAAGGAUGGAGAGAGAGCAGAAAGAGAGGGAGAGACUACGAGAACUGGAGGAGAGCAAGAUGGAGAAGGAGCGACGGUGGCGUAGUCACGUCGCGGAGCUCUCCUCUAGCCAGGAGGCCGACGUCAGAGAGAGACUGAGCAGACUGAGGAGCUUCAGGGUGUUUCAGAGGAGGGUUCUGAUGGAGGGGUGUGGGAUGGAGCCCAGCACUGCAGGCCUCCUCAUGGACCAGCGGCCCUCUAGGAUCUAGACCCAAAUUCAAACUGUCCCGAGCUCCGACCGUUUCAGGACCAGCCCAGGCUGAUGGCGACUUGUAGCCUUCAGAAACCAGCCUGGAGGAAAGACUAACCCUGAGACGCUAACCAUUAGGCCAACCUGAAACAUUGAGUAGCCAGCAUCUGCAUCAACUUGUGAACUUCAUUAACCAACUUGUAGAUUAACUUUUGAACUCUGAGAGAAACAACAUGUAGACCACCUGGGGACCUUAAAAAUAAACCUAUCGUCCAACUUGUAAGGUUGAGAGACCAAACUCAA